This 72-nucleotide transfer RNA is filed under the name Candidatus Burarchaeum sp. RNAcentral's name for it is "tRNA-Val". It matches the Rfam family "tRNA". From Rfam's summary of the family: Transfer RNA (tRNA) molecules are approximately 80 nucleotides in length. The record is from RNAcentral. Lineage: Archaea; Nanobdellati; Microcaldota; Candidatus Micrarchaeia; Candidatus Burarchaeales; Candidatus Burarchaeaceae.
GGGCCUGUAGUCGAAUGGUAAGACGUCGCCCUUACACGGCGAAGACUGAGAGUUCGAUUCUCUCCGGGCCCA